RNAcentral lists this ribosomal RNA (292 nucleotides) under uncultured bacterium. RNAcentral's name for it is "partial 16S ribosomal RNA". It matches the Rfam family "Bacterial small subunit ribosomal RNA", at positions 28 to 317 of the family's 1533-position model. The record is from RNAcentral.
GAUGAACGCUAGCGGCAGGCCUAAUACAUGCAAGCCGAACGGCAAGAACUUUAGCAAUAGAGUUCCUAGAGUGGCGUAAGGGUGCGUAACACGUAUGCAAUCUGCCCGCAACAGGAGGAUAGCUCCCCGAAAGGGGAAUUAAGACUCCAUAAGAUCACAGGAAGGCAUCUGAGAGUGAUUAAACUACCAGGGGUUGCGGAUGAGCAUGCGCANGAUUAGUUAGUUGGCGGGGUAACGGCCCACCAAGACGAUGAUCAUUAGGGGAACUGAGAGGUUGAUCCCCCACACUGGC